GACGAACGCUGGCGGCGUGCUUAACACAUGCAAGUCGAACGGUCCGGCACUUGAUUUUAUCGGCGCUUUUAGCGCCAUUGAUCAAGUGCCGGAUAGUGGCGGACGGGUGAGUAACGCGUGGGCAACCUGCCUUUCACAGGGGGAUAACACCGGGAAACCGGUGCUAAUACCGCAUAACGUAUAUAAAUGGCAUCAUAAAUAUACCAAAGGAGAAAUCCGGUGAAAAGAUGGGCCCGCGUCCGAUUAGCUAGUUGGUGGGGUAACUGCUCACCAAGGCGACGAUCGGUAGCCGAACUGAGAGGUUGACCGGCCACAUUGGGACUGAGACACGGCCCAGACUCCUACGGGAGGCAGCAGUGGGGAAUAUUGCGCAAUGGGGGGAACCCUGACGCAGCGACGCCGCGUGAAGGAAGAAGGCCUUCGGUUGUAACUUACUUUGUAUGUAGGGACGGAGUAAUAGUACGGUACCGUCAAGAACAAGACCACGGCUAACUACGUAGCCAGCAGCCGCGGUAAAACGUAGACGUA
This 528-nucleotide ribosomal RNA is filed under the name uncultured bacterium. Its description in RNAcentral is "bacterial SSU rRNA". It matches the Rfam family "Bacterial small subunit ribosomal RNA", at positions 28 to 535 of the family's 1533-position model. The record is from RNAcentral.